UGUGUGUCAAGAAGCACAUAUACCUCUUGC
RNAcentral lists this non-coding RNA (30 nucleotides) under Mus musculus (house mouse). Lineage: Eukaryota; Metazoa; Chordata; Mammalia; Rodentia; Muridae. The record is from RNAcentral.